RNAcentral lists this ribosomal RNA (909 nucleotides) under uncultured Dechloromonas sp. RNAcentral's name for it is "bacterial SSU rRNA". It matches the Rfam family "Bacterial small subunit ribosomal RNA", at positions 58 to 956 of the family's 1533-position model. Lineage: Bacteria; Pseudomonadati; Pseudomonadota; Betaproteobacteria; Rhodocyclales; Azonexaceae. The record is from RNAcentral.
CAAGUCGCACGGUAACGGGCCUUCGGGUGCCGACGAGUGGCGAACGGGUGAGUAAUGUAUCGGAACGUACCUUUCAGUGGGGGAUAACGUAGCGAAAGUUACGCUAAUACCGCAUAUUCUGUGCGCAGGAAAGCAGGGGAUCGCAAGACCUUGCGCUGAUUGAGCGGCCGAUAUCAGAUUAGCUAGUUGGUGAGGUAAAGGCUCACCAAGGCGACGAUCUGUAGCGGGUCUGAGAGGAUGAUCCGCCACACUGGAACUGAGACACGGUCCAGACUCCUACGGGAGGCAGCAGUGGGGAAUUUUGGACAAUGGGGGCAACCCUGAUCCAGCCAUUCCGCGUGAGUGAAGAAGGCCUUCGGGUUGUAAAGCUCUUUUGUCCGGAGCGAAACGGGUAGUCCUAAUACGGCUGCCUACUGACGGUACCGGAAGAAUAAGCACCGGCUAACUACGUGCCAGCAGCCGCGGUAAUACGUAGGGUGCGAGCGUUAAUCGGAAUUACUGGGCGUAAAGCGUGCGCAGGCGGUUUUGUAAGACAGGCGUGAAAUCCCCGGGCUCAACCUGGGAACUGCGCUUGUGACUGCAAGGCUAGAGUAUGGCAGAGGGGGGUGGAAUUCCACGUGUAGCAGUGAAAUGCGUAGAGAUGUGGAGGAACAUCAAUGGCGAAGGCAGCCCCCUGGGCCAAUACUGACGCUCAUGCACGAAAGCGUGGGUAGCAAACAGGAUUAGAUACCCUGGUAGUCCACGCCCUAAACGAUGUCAACUAGGUGUUGGGUGGGUAAAACCAUUUAGUACCGUAGCUAACGCGUGAAGAUGACCGCCUGGGGGAGUACGGCCGCAAGGUUAAAACUCAAAGGGAAUUGACGGGGGACCCGCACAAGCGGUGGGAUGAUGUGGGAUUAAAUUUCGAUG